AGCAGCAGCAAGAUGAAGUAGGAAGUAGGAACCUUCGGUAUUCCAAGCUCAAGCUGGGUAUUUUUCAGCUCGAGGCCCUUAAUCUUUUUUGCAUUCGAGCUGAAAAAUAGCCAGAAUUGAGAGUUUUGCUUUGAUGUUGAUAGGCUUGUGCUUGGAAUACCGAAGGUUCCUACUUCCUACUUCAUCUUGCUGCUGCUA
Pelobates cultripes (western spadefoot toad) is the source of this 198-nucleotide non-coding RNA. Lineage: Eukaryota; Metazoa; Chordata; Amphibia; Anura; Pelobatidae. The record is from the annotation of a GenBank genome assembly.